AUGAUUGAAAACCUCUUCCCAAUUCUAUCCUGGAACGUGCGGGGACUGAACUCGCCCGCGAGACGAGCUGUUGUUGCUUAAGUUGUCGUUUCCCACCGUCUUGGCAUUCUCUGUCUGCAGGAAACAAAAAUCUCCACCUGGACUGCUGAUUUGGACAGAGUGGUUGGAGGUGCCAAGCUCAGAGAUUGUGUAGUUCUGCCUGCCUUCGACACCAGAGGUGGUGCUGCCAUCUUCUGGGACACUGAUGUAGUGGAGAUCAACUCCCAAGCGAUCGGACAGUAUGCUAUAACAGCUCAGGUCAGCCUCAAAGCAUCGGGUAAAUCGUUCUGGCUGACUACUGUCUACGGGCCGGCUGAUGACGAGAGGAAAGAGGAUUUUCUGACAGAGAUAAGAAGUCUUGCACCUCCAGUUGGACAGCCUUGGCUGAUUAAUGGAGAUUUCAACAUAAUUUAUGAAGCCAGAGACAAAAACAAUGACCGUAUAAACCGCAGAAUCAUAGGCAGAUUUAGAAGUGCCAUUGACUCGGCUGAGCUCAGAGAAAUCAAGUGCAAAAACAGAAGAUUUACUUGGAGCAAUGAAAGGGAGAGGCCAACCCUUGAGAGCAUUGACAAAUUUUUCUGUAACAUCAGUUGGGAAGCGCUUUUUCCCUCGGUCAUCCUGAUGGCCUCUUCUACUGCAUGCUCAGACCACUGCCCUGUCCUCCUAGCGGAUGCCACCUCCCCAAGGAAAAAAGCUAAGUUCCGGUUUGAAUCCUUCUGGCCAAAAUUUCCCCACUUCCACGAGACAGUGGACAGAGCGUGGAACAGACCUGUUAAUCACUCCUGCGCUUUCGUAAGGCUGAAGCAGAAGCUAUUGAGGACAACAAAAAAUCUGAAAAUUUGGAGCAAGUCCCAUUUCAGUGACGCAAGAUUGUAA
RNAcentral lists this ribosomal RNA (915 nucleotides) under Triticum aestivum (bread wheat). RNAcentral describes it as "partial small subunit ribosomal RNA". The record is from RNAcentral. Lineage: Eukaryota; Viridiplantae; Streptophyta; Magnoliopsida; Poales; Poaceae.